UGUAACGCAAUCUGGUUCGUUUGUCUGCGGCUGUGACGUUGUCAACGAUGGGGGUCCACGCAACGGGAGCCACCCAAUAAAAAUUCUACGGCAGCCUCAACGAAACAAACAAUACUCAGCAAUGUGAAGCAGGUUACGUCAAAAACCGCGACUGUGGUCGAAUCUGAACUGGUGCAGUUGACGCUGACAUAACGAAAUGUAGAGGCAGUUUUCAUUUAAUUACCAACAGGGUUAUACGUGUUAUAAUUAAGAUUAUCUUUGAAUUUUUGAUAGUACUUAUAGAACCGAAAACGCUGCCAUCAAAGUUAGUGCGGGGAGGGAAUUAUUUACAGUGAUUUCACUGAUGUUCUAAAGAUGAACAGUGAUUCAUUUAAAGGGAAUGAUUUACAGUGAAAAUUAUCCAGUGAGAAUAUAGUUGACCUCCGAUAAUCAUAAGUAAAUCGAAACCCGCUAAUCAAAGAUACCGUUUUGAACUGAUUCAAGCUAUACAGACAGAAAUCAGUUUUAGCAAUUUUGAGGUAUUUUCGAACAGAGUCCAAAACUGAGAAUCAGAGCAAGAGAUGGCGCGUGAUUCGGAUCUUUACUACCGCCCGAUACGUCAUUCCCAAGAAUUCAAGAAAUAUAAUCCACCGCUAUACCAAACCUUGCUCAAAAAUUGUAAGCUUUCAGUCUCGGUCGACAGCUUCACAGCUUUAACUCUAGGCCGCCUCAGCACAACGCCUUACAAGCAUAAUUUGGACCUGCAUUAUUUAUACGAGCUUAUUUGAUUCUGUGUACACGACUGGCAUCGCGAGAUUCCUAGUUAAUCGAAUUCAGGAAACGUCUGUGGAACGACGUCAACGACUGUUCUCUCUUUCAGUGUAUUUAUUAUUUAAGUCUGACAAUGCUACUGCGAAGUUGUUAGUAACAUACACGUCCGUAUUUUACAAUAUCCGAUUAGAAAGCCAAUGAUUCGUCUGUCAUUUACAGUAUAAAGAAGCAUAGAGAACGUCACAAAAUACGAACAGUUAGGCAUAUUUGUAAUCAGCUUAACAGAGAACACUGUUGCUACCGCGUAAAUGACUACGAUUGCCCUACGACAGCAAUAAAUAUUUUCUUUUGACAGACGAAAGGACCGUGAUAUACAGCGUUUAACUGUUAUCGUAAAUAUUAAGUGAAAUGUGCUGGUCUGCAUCUAUAUAGGAAAUCAUUUGUAGCGUAUGCACAAGAGAAUGAGCAAAGUUACUUUAAGCCACACAAAAAACGUAGCCAGCUCGCUCGUUAAGCAUACCUAUAUUGCUUAUCGCAAAUGGCAUAAUAUGCUGCCAUUUAUAACACGUUAGAUAAACUAGGCUGCUUAUUGCGAGUCCUAUUCAGAACUCUUGUCUGGAUCGCACUAUACCUAAUUAUCUACUACCAUGUUUAGUUCCUGGGGACGGAGAGCCGACAAGCCGAGAAAAAAAUCGGUUCCAUUAUCGUCUCCUACACAACUACAGUGAAAGUUACCGCACAAAUACCGGCGUCCGAUGUGUUGAAUCGCAUGAGAAAUGUCAUUUAGCCGUUAUUAGGACACCAAUAAAUUUGACUGUUGUUUUCGCAGUUACUACAAUUGUAUCCUAACGCCAGAUAACUUUUAUAAUCAUUAUGGAAACCUUUCUAGUUGCCGCUAGCAAUAUAUAUAUUUUAUAAUAACAUAAUAGAAAG
Molecule: long non-coding RNA, 1683 nt
Organism: Varroa destructor (honeybee mite)
Lineage: Eukaryota; Metazoa; Arthropoda; Arachnida; Mesostigmata; Varroidae
Source: RefSeq, a predicted model, not a curated record